RNAcentral lists this ribosomal RNA (606 nucleotides) under antibiotic-resistant bacterium RA2. RNAcentral's name for it is "bacterial SSU rRNA". It matches the Rfam family "Bacterial small subunit ribosomal RNA", at positions 67 to 720 of the family's 1533-position model. Lineage: Bacteria; Pseudomonadati; Pseudomonadota; Alphaproteobacteria; Rhodobacterales; Paracoccaceae. The record is from RNAcentral.
CGAACUCUUCGGAGUUAGUGGCAGACGGGUGAGUAACGCGUGGGAACAUACCUUUCGGUACGGAACAACAGUUGGAAACGACUGCUAAUACCGUAUGCGCCCUAUGGGGGAAAGAUUUAUCGCCGAGAGAUUGGCCCGCGUUGGAUUAGCUAGUUGGUGGGGUAAUGGCCUACCAAGGCGACGAUCCAUAGCUGGUCUGAGAGGAUGAUCAGCCACACUGGGACUGAGACACGGCCCAGACUCCUACGGGAGGCAGCAGUGGGGAAUAUUGGACAAUGGGGGCAACCCUGAUCCAGCCAUGCCGCGUGAGUGAUGAAGGCCCUAGGGUUGUAAAGCUCUUUCAGCGAGGAGGAUAAUGACGUUACUCGCAGAAGAAGCCCCGGCUAACUUCGUGCCAGCAGCCGCGGUAAUACGAAGGGGGCUAGCGUUGUUCGGAAUCACUGGGCGUAAAGCGCACGUAGGCGGACUUUUAAGUCAGGGGUGAAAUCCCGGGGCUCAACCCCGGAACUGCCUUUGAUACUGGAAGUCUUGAGACCGAGAGAGGUGAGUGGAACUCCGAGUGUAGAGGUGAAAUUCGUAGAUAUUCGGAAGACACCAGUGGCGAAG